GACGAACGCUGGCGGCGUGCCUAAUACAUGCAAGUCGAGCGAAGGUUUUCUGGUGCUUGCACCGGAAAAACUUAGCGGCGAACGGGAGAGUAACACGUAAAGAACCUGCCUCAUAGAAAGGGACAAAUAUUGGAAACGAUAGCUAAUACCGGAUAACAGCAUUAACUGCAUGGUUGAUGUUUAAAAGUUGGUUUUGCUAACACUAUGAGAUGGCUUUGCGGUGCAUUAGCUAGUUGGUGGGGUAAAGGCCUACCAAGGCGACGAUGCAUAGCCGACCUGAGAGGGUGAUCGGCCACACUGGGACUGAGACACGGCCCAGACUCCUACGGGAGGCAGCAGUAGGGAAUCUUCCGCAAUGGGCGAAAGCCUGACGGAGCAACGCCGCGUGAGUGAAGAAGGAUUUCGGUUCGUAAAGCUCUGUUGUUAGGGAAGAAUGGUUGUGUAGUAACUCUACACAGUAGAGACGGUACCUAACCAGAAAGCCACGGCUAACUACGUG
RNAcentral lists this ribosomal RNA (499 nucleotides) under uncultured bacterium. RNAcentral's name for it is "partial 16S ribosomal RNA". It matches the Rfam family "Bacterial small subunit ribosomal RNA", at positions 28 to 507 of the family's 1533-position model. The record is from RNAcentral.